RNAcentral lists this ribosomal RNA (301 nucleotides) under uncultured bacterium. Its description in RNAcentral is "partial 16S ribosomal RNA". It matches the Rfam family "Bacterial small subunit ribosomal RNA", at positions 509 to 807 of the family's 1533-position model. The record is from RNAcentral.
CAGCCGCCACGGGAAUACGAAGGGGGCUAGCGUUGUUCGGAUUUACUGGGCGUAAAGGGCGCGUAGGCGGACUGAUAAGUCAGGGGUGAAAUCCCAAGGCUCAACCUUGGAACUGCCUUUGAUACUGUUUGUCUUGAGUUCGAGAGAGGUAAGUGGAACUGCGAGUGUAGAGGUGAAAUUCGUAGAUAUUCGCAAGAACACCAGUGGCGAAGGCGGCUUACUGGCUCGAAACUGACGCUGAGGCGCGAAAGCGUGGGGAGCAAACAGGAUUAGAUACCCGAGUAGUCCCUGUCUCUUAUAC